Molecule: long non-coding RNA, 246 nt
Organism: Carassius carassius (crucian carp)
Lineage: Eukaryota; Metazoa; Chordata; Actinopteri; Cypriniformes; Cyprinidae
Exons: 3
Source: RefSeq, a predicted model, not a curated record
CUGGAAGAGACAAAAGACCUCUAGCUUCCUCCUAAACUGCCAUCAUAACAUACACAUCUUGAGAACUGAGUAACUUAUCAGAGGAUACCAAUUUUAUGUUGACACAAGAAUCAAAAAGCAACGACAUCAGGAUGUCCAACAACAAAAAGAAAUCAACAGCAACUGCAAAAUUUUACAAUAAACCAACGUUGGAGGAGGAAUUGCACUCUGGUUACCUGUUCAAGUCCCCCGCUCAACAAACCCGGA